UACGUAGGGCGCAAGCGUUGUCCGGAAUUAUUGGGCGUAAAGAGCUCGUAGGCGGCUUGUCACGUCGGGUGUGAAAGCCCGGGGCUUAACUCCGAAACUGCAUUCGAUACUGCCGUGCUUGAGGACUGGAGAGGAGACUGGAAUUUACGGUGUAGCGGUGAAAUGCGUAGAUAUCGUAAGGAAGACCAGUGGCGAAGGCGGGUCUCUGGACAGUUCCUGACGCUGAGGCACGAAGGUCAGGGGAGCAAACGGG
RNAcentral lists this ribosomal RNA (253 nucleotides) under uncultured bacterium. RNAcentral's name for it is "partial 16S ribosomal RNA". It matches the Rfam family "Bacterial small subunit ribosomal RNA", at positions 524 to 776 of the family's 1533-position model. The record is from RNAcentral.